GACGAACGCUGGCGGCGUGCCUAAUACAUGCAAGUCGAACGAAGCUGUUUUAACUGGUGCUUGCACCGACUUAAACAACUGAGUGGCGAACGGGUGAGUAACACGUGGGUAACCUGCCCCAAAGCGGGGGAUAACAUUUGGAAACAGAUGCUAAUACCGCAUAACCACAGAAACCACAUGGUUUUGAUUUGAAAGAUGGCCUUUGUGCUAUCACUUCUGGAUGGACCCGCGGCGUAUUAGCUAGUUGGUAAGGUAACGGCUUACCAAGGCAAUGAUACGUAGCCGAACUGAGAGGUUGAUCGGCCACAAUGGGACUGAGACACGGCCCAUACUCCUACGGGAGGCAGCAGUAGGGAAUCUUCCACAAUGGGCGCAAGCCUGAUGGAGCAACACCGCGUGAGUGAAGAAGGGUUUCGGCUCGUAAAACUCUGUUGUUAAAGGAGAACGUAUCUAAGAGUAACUGCUUAGGUAGUGACGGUAUUUAACCAGAAAGCCACGGCUAACUACGUGCCAGCAGCCGCCGUAA
Molecule: ribosomal RNA, 526 nt
Filed under: uncultured bacterium
Lineage: Bacteria
Description: partial 16S ribosomal RNA
Rfam family: Bacterial small subunit ribosomal RNA
Source: RNAcentral